Molecule: ribosomal RNA, 1338 nt
Filed under: Aspergillus glaucus
Lineage: Eukaryota; Fungi; Ascomycota; Eurotiomycetes; Eurotiales; Aspergillaceae
Description: SSU rRNA
Rfam family: Eukaryotic small subunit ribosomal RNA
Source: RNAcentral
GUCCUAGGUAUAAAGCACUUUAUACUGUGAAACUGCGAAUGGCUCAUUAAAUCAGUUAUCGUUUAUUUGAUAGUACCUUACUACAUGGAUACCUGUGGUAAUUCUAGAGCUAAUACAUGCUAAAAACCUCGACUUCGGAAGGGGUGUAUUUAUUAGAUAAAAAACCAACGCCCUUCGGGGCUCCUUGGUGAAUCAUAAUAACUAAGCGAAUCGCAUGGCCUUGCGCCGGCGAUGGUUCAUUCAAAUUUCUGCCCUAUCAACUUUCGAUGGUAGGAUAGUGGCCUACCAUGGUGGCAACGGGUAACGGGGAAUUAGGGUUCGAUUCCGGAGAGGGAGCCUGAGAAACGGCUACCACAUCCAAGGAAGGCAGCAGGCGCGCAAAUUACCCAAUCCCGACACGGGGAGGUAGUGACAAUAAAUACUGAUACGGGGCUCUUUUGGGUCUCGUAAUUGGAAUGAGUACAAUCUAAAUCCCUUAACGAGGAACAAUUGGAGGGCAAGUCUGGUGCCAGCAGCCGCGGUAAUUCCAGCUCCAAUAGCGUAUAUUAAAGUUGUUGCAGUUAAAAAGCUCGUAGUUGAACCUUGGGUCUGGCUGGCCGGUCCGCCUCACCGCGAGUACUGGUCCGGCUGGACCUUUCCUUCUGGGGAACCUCAUGGCCUUCACUGGCUGUGGGGGGAACCAGGACUUUUACUGUGAAAAAAUUAGAGUGUUCAAAGCAGGCCUUUGCUCGAAUACAUUAGCAUGGAAUAAUAGAAUAGGACGUGCGGUUCUAUUUUGUUGGUUUCUAGGACCGCCGUAAUGAUUAAUAGGGAUAGUCGGGGGCGUCAGUAUUCAGCUGUCAGAGGUGAAAUUCUUGGAUUUGCUGAAGACUAACUACUGCGAAAGCAUUCGCCAAGGAUGUUUUCAUUAAUCAGGGAACGAAAGUUAGGGGAUCGAAGACGAUCAGAUACCGUCGUAGUCUUAACCAUAAACUAUGCCGACUAGGGAUCGGGCGGUGUUUCUAUAAUGACCCGCUCGGCACCUUACGAGAAAUCAAAGUUUUUGGGUUCUGGGGGGAGUAUGGUCGCAAGGCUGAAACUUAAAGAAAUUGACGGAAGGGCACCACAAGGCGUGGAGCCUGCGGCUUAAUUUGACUCAACACGGGGAAACUCACCAGGUCCAGACAAAAUAAGGAUUGACAGAUUGAGAGCUCUUUCUUGAUCUUUUGGAUGGUGGUGCAUGGCCGUUCUUAGUUGGUGGAGUGAUUUGUCUGCUUAAUUGCGAUAACGAACGAGACCUCGGCCCUUAAAUAGCCCGGUCCGCAUUUGCGGGCCGCUGGCUUCUUAGGGGGACUAUCC